This is a long non-coding RNA of Haliotis rubra (blacklip abalone), 1301 nucleotides long. RefSeq lists it as uncharacterized. The transcript is spliced from 5 exons. Lineage: Eukaryota; Metazoa; Mollusca; Gastropoda; Lepetellida; Haliotidae. The record is from RefSeq and is a predicted model, not a curated record.
GACUGCUCAAGGCACCGCUGGGGGCCUGCGUUGGUGAUUGUGACAACACACUCGUGAGAGGAGCAACCGCUGUUCCUGGUGGAAUUACUAUGUCUGGCUCAGGGAUGUCAGCAGGCAGGUGCUGCAGCUCAAAUUCCUCCACUUUAGCAAUGUAGUCUUUCCCCGUCCCCAUCAGUAACUUGAACACCUCCGAGGUCAUGGAUAUUGACUUCUUCACCCCUCUGCUGUUCCAAUUAGUAAGCUGGUGGUAUUGGAGCCUGCGGUGGGAGACUGCUCGAGGCACCGCUGGGGGCCUGCUGUGGUGAUUGUGACAACACACUCGUGAGAGGAGCAACCGCUGUUCCUGGUGGAAUUACUAUGUCUGGCUCAGGGAUGUCAGCAGGCAGGUGCUGCAGCUCAAAUUCCUCCACUUUAGCAAUGUAGUCUUUCGCCGUCCCCAUCAGUAACUUGAACACCUCCGAGGUCAUGGAUAUUGACUUCUUCACCCCUCUGCUGUUCCAAUUAGUAAGCUGGUGGUAUUGGAGCCUGCGGUGGGAGACUGCUCGAGGCACCGCUGGGGGCCUGCGUUGGUGAUUGUGACAACACACUCGUGAGAGGAGCAACCGCUGUUCCUGGUGGAAUUACUAUGUCUGGCUCAGGGAUGUCAGCAGGCAGGUGCUGCAGCUCAAAUUCCUCCACUUUAGCAAUGUAGUCUUUCGCCGUCCCCAUCAGUAACUUGAACACCUCCGAGGUCAUGGAUAUUGACUUCUUCACCCCUCUGCUGUUCCAAUUAGUAAGCUGGUGGUAUUGGAGCCUGCGGUGGGAGACUGCUCGAGGCACCGCUGGGGGCCUGCUGUGGUGAUUGUGACAACACACUCGUGAGAGGAGCAACCGCUGUUCCUGGUGGAAUUACUAUGUCUGGCUCAGGGAUGUCAGCAGGCAGGUGCUGCAGCUCAAAUUCCUCCACUUUAGCAAUGUAGUCUUUCGCCGUCCCCAUCAGUAACUUGAACACCUCCGAGGUAAUGGAUAUUGACUUCUUCACCCCUCUGCUGUUCCAAUUAGUAAGCUGGUGGUAUUGGAGCCUGCGGUGGGAGACUGCUCGAGGCACCGCUGGGGGCCUGCGUUGGUGAUUGUGACAACACACUCGUGAGAGGAGCAACCGCUGUUCUUGGUGGAAUUACUAUGUCCGGCUUAGGGAUGUGAGCAUUCAGGUGCUGCAGCUCAAAUUCCUCCACUUUAGCAAUGUAGUCUUUCGCCGUCCCCAUCAGUAACUUGAACACCUCCGAGGUCAUGGAUAUUGACUUCUUCACCCUCUGCUGUUC